This 240-nucleotide ribosomal RNA is filed under the name uncultured bacterium. Its description in RNAcentral is "partial 16S ribosomal RNA". It matches the Rfam family "Bacterial small subunit ribosomal RNA", at positions 1250 to 1500 of the family's 1533-position model. The record is from RNAcentral.
CGAGGCUGUGAAGCGGAGCAAAUCUCAAAAACCGGUCCCAGUUCGGAUUGUAGGCUGCAACUCGCCUACAUGAAGUCGGAGUUGCUAGUAAUCGCGGAUCAGAAUGCCGCGGUGAAUGCGUUCCCGGGUCUUGUACACACCGCCCGUCACACCAUGGAAGUUGGGGGCGCCCGAAGUUGCCUAAGAAAUAAGGUACCUAAGGCGAAACCAAUGACUGGGGUGAAGUCGUAACAAGGUAGC